UACGUAGGGGGCAAGCGUUGUCCGGAUUUAUUGGGCGUAAAGAGCGUGUAGGCGGCCAGACAGGUCCGUUGUGAAAACUCGAGGCUCAACCUCGAGAUGUCGAUGGAAACCGUCUGGCUAGAGUCCGGAAGAGGAGUGUGGAAUUCCUGGUGUAGCGAUGAAAUGCGCAGAUAUCAGGAAGAACACCUAUGGCGAAGGCAGCACUCUGGGACGGUACUGACGCUGAGACGCGAAAGCGUGGGGAGCGAACAGG
RNAcentral lists this ribosomal RNA (253 nucleotides) under uncultured bacterium. RNAcentral describes it as "partial 16S ribosomal RNA". It matches the Rfam family "Bacterial small subunit ribosomal RNA", at positions 524 to 776 of the family's 1533-position model. The record is from RNAcentral.